Molecule: ribosomal RNA, 225 nt
Filed under: uncultured bacterium
Lineage: Bacteria
Description: partial 16S ribosomal RNA
Rfam family: Bacterial small subunit ribosomal RNA
Source: RNAcentral
AGUAACACGUGAGUAACCUGCCCCUCACUCUGGGAUAACUCCGGGAAACCGGUGCUAAUACUGGAUAUGACCUGAACAGGCAUCUGUAUCGGGUGGAAAGAUUUAUUGGUGGGGGAUGGACUCGCGGCCUAUCAGCUUGUUGGUGAGGUAAUGGCUCACCAAGGCGACGACGGGUAGCCGGCCUGAGAGGGCGAUCGGCCACACUGGGACUGAGACACGGCCCAG